Molecule: ribosomal RNA, 274 nt
Filed under: uncultured bacterium
Lineage: Bacteria
Description: partial 16S ribosomal RNA
Rfam family: Bacterial small subunit ribosomal RNA
Source: RNAcentral
AUACGGAGGGGGCUAGCGUUGUUCGGAAUUACUGGGCGUAAAGCGCGCGUAGGCGGAUUGAUCAGUCAGGGGUGAAAUCCCGAGGCUUAACCUCGGAACUGCCUCUGAUACUGUCAAUCUUGAGUUCGAGAGAGGUGAGUGGAAUUCCUAGUGUAGAGGUGAAAUUCGUAGAUAUUAGGAAGAACACCAGUGGCGAAGGCGGCUCACUGGCUCGAUACUGACGCUGAGGUGCGAAAGCGUGGGGAGCAAACAGGAUUAGAUACCCUUGUAGUCC